RNAcentral lists this ribosomal RNA (461 nucleotides) under Arion subfuscus. RNAcentral's name for it is "partial 16S ribosomal RNA". The stretch from base 1 to 198 matches the Rfam family "Archaeal large subunit ribosomal RNA", at positions 1921 to 2143 of the family's 2987-position model. Lineage: Eukaryota; Metazoa; Mollusca; Gastropoda; Stylommatophora; Arionidae. The record is from RNAcentral.
AGCCUUAUGCCUCUAUAUAUAAGGUUAAGUCUGCCCACUGAAAUUAUUAAAAUUUUAAAUGGCCGCAGUACUUUGACUGUGCUAAGGUAGCAAAAUAAAUAGGCUUUUAAUUAAGGUCGUGUAUGAAUGGCACCAUGGGUGUAAACUGUCUCAAUUGUUAUUACUAUUUGAAUUUAGUUAAUAGGUGAAAAUACCUAUUUUUCAAAUAAUAGACGAGAAGACCCUUAGAGUUUUUUAAUAAGAUAAUUUAUUUCCUAGUUUAUUAAUUUUUUGUUGGGGCGACAAAGUAUCAUUAUAGCAUACUCAGCAGAAUAUAUAAACCAGUCUUUAUUACAUUUGAACAUAACUACCUAAGGGAUAACAGCAUAAUUUUUCAUCAAAGAUUGUGACCUCGAUGUUGGACUAGGGACUGAAUAUAUUAGUCAUAUAUUUAGAAUAUUCUGUUCGAAUAGAUAUUACCU